AACGAACGCUGGCGGCGUGCCUAACACAUGCAAGUCGAGGGAGAAAACCCGCAAGGGCGAGUAAACCGGCGAACGGGUGCGUAACACGUGGAUAAUCUACCUCGGUGACCGGGACAACUGGCCGAAAGGCUUGCUAAUACCGGAUGAGCCCACGACGUCUUCGGACGACGAGGGAAAAGGCGGCCUCUGCAUGCAAGCUGUCACAUCGAGAUGAGUCCGCGGCCCAUCAGCUCGUUGGCGGGGUAACGGCCCACCAAGGCAACGACGAGUAGCUGGUCUGAGAGGAUGAUCAGCCACACUGGAACUGAGACACGGUCCAGACUCCUACGGGAGGCAGCAGUGGGGAAUCUUGCGCAAUGGCCUAACGGCUGACGCAGCGACGCCGCGUGAGGGAUGACGCUCUUCGAGUGUAAACCUCUUUUGCCUGAGACGAAUUGCCAGCUUUAGCUGGUUUGACUGUAUCGGGUGAAUAAGCACCGGCUAACUCC
This 488-nucleotide ribosomal RNA is filed under the name uncultured bacterium. Its description in RNAcentral is "bacterial SSU rRNA". It matches the Rfam family "Bacterial small subunit ribosomal RNA", at positions 29 to 504 of the family's 1533-position model. The record is from RNAcentral.